AGCUUUUACUCUUUAAUUUUCGCAUUUGUUAGCUCUCUUUUUUGGAGGGGCAUUAUUCAAAACAGUGUCACAUGAUUAUUUAAGAAUAUAAAAGAUAUAGACUAAUACGUUCAUAGUCAAUUGGUUUUGAGUUGAAAUAUAUCUAAUUUGAUAUAAGUAUCAGAGCAUGAUUCAUGCAUUGCAACAUAAGCCAUAACCGAU
This 201-nucleotide long non-coding RNA is filed under the name Brassica napus (rape). Its description in RNAcentral is "long non-coding RNA (BNAP_LNC009426)". Lineage: Eukaryota; Viridiplantae; Streptophyta; Magnoliopsida; Brassicales; Brassicaceae. The record is from RNAcentral.